UCUUCGGUUCCACAGCCCGUUUCUGGUAU
This 29-nucleotide small RNA is filed under the name Bombyx mori (domestic silkworm). Its description in RNAcentral is "ovarian small RNA-30134". Lineage: Eukaryota; Metazoa; Arthropoda; Insecta; Lepidoptera; Bombycidae. The record is from RNAcentral.